GUACUACUCCCUCCGUUCCGAAUUUACUUGUCGCAAGUAUGGAUGUAUCUAGAUGUAUUUUAGUUCUAGAUACAUUCAUUUCUGCGACGAGUAAUUUGGAACGGAGGGAGUAUAAA
Non-coding RNA from Triticum urartu, 116 nucleotides. The record is from Rfam. Lineage: Eukaryota; Viridiplantae; Streptophyta; Magnoliopsida; Poales; Poaceae.